UCUCAAAAGGUUCCUGGAUACAAAAGUCCUCCCAAUAUUAUCUGUGCAGGUGGAUACAACACAAAUAAAGGAUCGUGUCAGGGUGAUUCUGGUGGCCCUCUGGUCUGCAAGGGAAUGGCUGUCGGUAUUGUUUCUUUCAACAAGGCGAUUGGUGAAAACUUGGGACAGUGUGACUAUCAGGAUGUCCCCAAUGUCUAUACAGAUAUCUCAAAAUACCUUAACUGGUUCAGGAGGAUUCUCCCGGGGGGAAAAAGUUAAAUCUUACACAAAGCUUUGCAUCAGCACACUGUAAGUGUGCAAGCUAUGCCUCUGUCAGCGUUUGCUCUCAAUGCAGAAUAAAGAAAAUGUUUCAAA
Haplochromis burtoni (Burton's mouthbrooder) is the source of this 354-nucleotide long non-coding RNA. RefSeq lists it as uncharacterized. The record is from RefSeq and is a predicted model, not a curated record. The transcript is spliced from 2 exons. NCBI's taxonomy places the organism in Eukaryota, Metazoa, Chordata, Actinopteri, Cichliformes, Cichlidae.